CCCUUCCCAGCACUUCAGUAUCAUAAGGAUCUGAAAACUGGCAAAACUGGUACUCAAAUUCAUUUAAAUAAAACACUGCCUAAGAGGAACAUUCACAUCCCUUUCAUCCUCUUGCUUCUGGAAUAUAAAACAAGCAACCACCAAAGAACAACAACAAAAAGGAGCAGGGAGUUUAAUAGGCAAGAAGACAGAAGGAAGAAGCUCCCCCAUACAGAGACAGAUGGAAAGGGUCUCCAAAGCUGAAAGAAGAAGUCCCUAUAUGUGAUGGACACUAGCCAGUUUUUGUUCAAGAUGCCAAGAACCUGGACACCCUCCACCGUUAACAUAUUUUGGGGAGCCAGCCUGGAGGAAGAGGUGCAAUGCUGCUUGGCCCCAACAUCGUUUGAAAUCUGGAGUUUACUGCUGACUGGGAAAGUGGGAUGGCUCUGCAUGUUUCCAGGCCUCUGUGCUGUGACUCUAAGCAGGGGGCUGGUUAAUGUAUGGCAGCCUCCUUUGGUAUGGUUUGGCCCCAGUGCUCUUUGGAGUCUGAGGAGGUUUGGCUCUUAAAAAUCAAACUGCUGUGUGUUAGGUGUGUCACUCUGUAAGGAGACCACCAGGCAGGCUUUGUGUGAGCAAUCAGGCCGUUUUAUUUUGCACUUGGAUGUAAGUGGGCUGAGUCUGAGAGAGGAGUUAGGUGAGGGGUGUAGGAAUGGGGACUGGUUAUAUAGGUUGGAACAAAUUGUAAGUUAAA
This is a long non-coding RNA of Callithrix jacchus (white-tufted-ear marmoset), 730 nucleotides long. RefSeq lists it as uncharacterized. The record is from RefSeq and is a predicted model, not a curated record. Lineage: Eukaryota; Metazoa; Chordata; Mammalia; Primates; Cebidae.